Molecule: ribosomal RNA, 558 nt
Filed under: Bdellocephala baikalensis
Lineage: Eukaryota; Metazoa; Platyhelminthes; Tricladida; Dendrocoelidae
Description: SSU rRNA
Rfam family: Eukaryotic small subunit ribosomal RNA
Source: RNAcentral
UCAAAGAUUAAGCCAUGCAUGUCUAAGUACAAAGACUCGUACUCUAAAACCGCGGAUGGCUCAUUAUAACAGCUAUGAUUUGAGAGAUUUAAACUUGCUACAGGAUAACUGUGGUAAUUCUAGAGCUAAUAUUUAUAAAGAAAUGCCGUGACAAUGCAAAUUGAAGCGGCGGAUUUAUUAGAUCAAAAUCAACCUGCCUCGCAAGGGGCGGUCCUUUGAUGACUCUGGAUAACUUUUCACUGAUCGUACGACCUUUGUGUCGACGACAUAUCUCUUGAAAUGGCUGACCUAUCAACUUUCGAUGGUAAGAUCAAAGCUUACCAUGGUUGUAACGGGUAACGGGGAAUCAGGGUUCGAUUCCGGAGAGGGAGCCUGAGAAACGGCUACCACAUCCACGGAAGGCAGCAGGCGCGUAAAUUACCCAAUACCGGCUCGGUGAGGUAGUGACAAUAAAUAACAAUAUGAGCCCUAGUGGUUUCAUAAUUGAAAUGAGAACAUUUUAAAUACUUUAUCAAGUAUCAAUUGGAGGGCAAGUCUGGUGCCAGCAGCCGCGGUAAU